Molecule: ribosomal RNA, 387 nt
Filed under: uncultured bacterium
Lineage: Bacteria
Description: bacterial SSU rRNA
Rfam family: Bacterial small subunit ribosomal RNA
Source: RNAcentral
UUUGGGCAAUGGGCGAAAGCCUGACCCAGCAACGCCGCGUGAGGGAUGAAGUAUUUCGGUAUGUAAACCUCGAAAGAAUGGGAAGAAUAAAUGACGGUACCAUUUAUAAGCUCCGGCUAACUACGUGCCAGCAGCCGCGGUAAUACGUAGGGAGCAAGCGCUGUUCGGAUUUACUGGGCGUAAAGGGCGCGUAGGCGGCGCGGUAAGUCACUUGUGAAAUCUCUGAGCUUAACUCAGAACGGCCAAGUGAUACUGCUGUGCUAGAGUGCGGAAGAGGCAACCGGAAUUCUUGUUGUAGCGGUGAAAUGCGUAGAUAUCAAGAGGAACACCGGAGGCGAAGGCGGGUUGCUGGGCCGACACUGACGCUGAUGCGCGAAAGCCAGGGGA